Molecule: ribosomal RNA, 534 nt
Filed under: Pediococcus pentosaceus
Lineage: Bacteria; Bacillati; Bacillota; Bacilli; Lactobacillales; Lactobacillaceae
Description: bacterial SSU rRNA
Rfam family: Bacterial small subunit ribosomal RNA
Source: RNAcentral
UGACGUACUUGUACUGAUUGAGAUUUUAACACGAAGUGAGUGGCGAACGGGUGAGUAACACGUGGGUAACCUGCCCAGAAGUAGGGGAUAACACCUGGAAACAGAUGCUAAUACCGUAUAACAGAGAAAACCGCAUGGUUUUCUUUUAAAAGAUGGCUCUGCUAUCACUUCUGGAUGGACCCGCGGCGUAUUAGCUAGUUGGUGAGGUAAAGGCUCACCAAGGCAGUGAUACGUAGCCGACCUGAGAGGGUAAUCGGCCACAUUGGGACUGAGACACGGCCCAGACUCCUACGGGAGGCAGCAGUAGGGAAUCUUCCACAAUGGACGCAAGUCUGAUGGAGCAACGCCGCGUGAGUGAAGAAGGGUUUCGGCUCGUAAAGCUCUGUUGUUAAAGAAGAACGUGGGUAAGAGUAACUGUUUACCCAGUGACGGUAUUUAACCAGAAAGCCACGGCUAACUACGUGCCAGCAGCCGCGGUAAUACGUAGGUGGCAAGCGUUAUCCGGAUUUAUUGGGCGUAAAGCGAGCGCAGGCG